This is a long non-coding RNA of Oncorhynchus tshawytscha (Chinook salmon), 1431 nucleotides long. The record is from Ensembl. NCBI's taxonomy places the organism in Eukaryota, Metazoa, Chordata, Actinopteri, Salmoniformes, Salmonidae.
UUUUUUUUGUUGCUCUGGUUAAUAACUUGAUUGGUGGAAUUAUUUUUUAAAAAAGAAGACAAAUUCAAACCGUCUGGGUGAUAAAAAACAACUAUUCAACAGUUUAUGGUAUCCUGACUAGAAUUGUAGUGUGUAGUGUGUGUGUGUGUGUGUGUAGUGUGUCUGUGUGUGUGUGUAGUGUGUCUGUGUGUGUACUGUAUGUGUGUGUGUGUGUGUGUGUGUGUGUGUGUGUGUGUAGUGUGUGUGUACUGUAUGUGUGUAGUGUGUGUGUAGUGUGUGUGUGUAGUGUGUGUAUGUGUUGUGUGUGUAGUGUGUGUGUGUGUCGUGUGUAGUGUGUGUGUAGUGUAUGUGUGUAGCGUGUGUAGUGUGUGUGUAGCGUGUGUAGUGUGUGUGUAGCGUGUGUAGUGUGUGUGUGUAGUGUGUGUAGUGUGUGUGUAGCGUGUGUAGUGUCCAGACACUCUUCAUAUUAGCAUCAUUAGUGGUUCAGCUGCUUCAGGACUUGAAAUGUUGAAGAUCUUGGACCUUCUUCUGAGGCAUAGAAGACUUCCACAUCAUCCCCUGAAACAAAGUCAACGUCCCCAUAAGGCCCUGUUUAAAAAGGUAGUGCACUACACAGGCAAUAGGGUGCCAUUCGGGACAGAACCAAACACUUUCUUUCAGAAGUCAUUGGUGCUUCCUGCACCUCAUCUGAGACUGUAAAGACUUUAAAGUUAAUACAACAUUUACAUUUCUUUCUUUUUUUUUUAAACGGACAAAUUAAUGAAAUCUCAACUUCCUGCCAAAUAAAAGUAAACUUGUCCAUCCUCUCAAAUACAUAGAGACACAUGAAAUGAAUAUUAGGAGACCUGAUGUACAGAAACCAGUGUUAAAAAUGAUUCAAACAGCUCCUAACUAGAGCCUCAUAACUAUGUUCCAAAUGGCACCUAUUCUCUAUACACUACACUGCUUUGGACCAGAACCCAUCUGGACCGGGACCCAUCUGGACCGGGACCCAUCUGGACCGGGACCCAUCUGGACCGGAGCCCAUCUGGACCGGAGCCCAUCUGGACCGGAGCCCAUCUGGACCGGGACCCAUCUGGACCAGGACCCAUCUGGACCGGGACCCAUCUGGACCAGACCCAUCUGGACCGGGACCCAUCUGGAGCCCAUCUGGACCCAUCUGGACCAGAGCCCAUCUGGACCCAUCUGGACCAGAGCCCAUCUGGACCCAUCUGGACCAGAGCCCAUCUGGACCCAUCUGGACCAGAGCCCAUCUGGACCCAUCUGGACCAGAGCCCAUCUGGACCCAUCUGAACCAGAGCCCAUCUGGACCCAUCUGAACCAGAGCCCAUCUGGACCCAUCUGGACCAGAGCCCAUCUGGACCCAUCUGGACCAGAGCCCAUCUGGACCCAUCUGGACCAGAGCCCAUCUGGACCCAUCUGGACCAGAGC